RNAcentral lists this ribosomal RNA (1002 nucleotides) under Hyaloperonospora parasitica. Its description in RNAcentral is "LSU rRNA". It matches the Rfam family "Eukaryotic large subunit ribosomal RNA", at positions 65 to 864 of the family's 3401-position model. The record is from RNAcentral. Lineage: Eukaryota; Oomycota; Peronosporomycetes; Peronosporales; Peronosporaceae.
CUACAGGAUUCCCCUAGUAACGGCGAGUGAAGCGGGAUGAGCUCAAGCUUAAAAUCUCUGUCACAAAUUUAUUUUGUGCGGCGAAUUGUAGUCUAUAGAGGCGUGGUCAGUGUAGGCACUUGAGGUAAGUUCCUUGAAAGAGGACAGCAUGGAGGGUGAAACUCCCGUUCAUACUUGAGUUGCUUAUACGUACGACCCGUUUUCUUUGAGUCGCGUUGUUUGAGAAUGCAGCGCAAAGUAGGUGGUAAAUUCCAUCUAAAGCUAAAUAUUGGUGCGAGACCGAUAGCGAACAAGUACCGUGAGGGAAAGAUGAAAAGAACUCUGAAAAGAGAGUUAAAGAGUACCUGAAACUGCUGAAAGGGAACCGGAUCGUUUCUAGUGUCUAUAAUCCGUGACAUAUUUCAUUGGGGAGUGUGUGCGUGUGUAUACUAUGGCAGUGGCUUUUUGCUGCGCUUGGUGUGCGUGCUGUAUGCGCUUACUGAUGCCCUGUGUUGCGGUGGGACGUCAAGGUCGGUUUGUAUACUGCGGGAAAUGGCUACUGAGGAGGUAGGGCUUACGCUUGCGUUUGUCUAUUAUAUCUUGGUAGUUGUGUCGUGGUUGAGACUGAGGUGUUCUACAACGUGCUUUUGAGUGGGACUGUGUCUCCGUGUGCACCGUGUGCGGAUAGCUUGCUAUGUGUGUGUGGUUGUAUGUGGAUUGAUGCGGGCUUUAACUUGUAGCCGUUCGGGACGUUGACGAAAUAGAGCGAUUUGACCCGUCUUGAAACACGGACCAAGGAGUCUAACAUAUGCGCAAGUGUUAGGGUGUGGAAACCCCAGCGCGAAAUGAAAGUAAAGGAUAGUGAAAACUAUCUGAGGUAGGAAACGUUGCGGAUUUCGGUCUGUGGCGUGGCACUAUCGACCGAUCAUGAACCUUCGUGGUGAAAGAUUUGAGUUUGAGCACAUAUGUUGGUACCCGAAAGAUGGUGAACUAUGCCUGAGUAGGGUGAAGCCAGGGAAACUC